Molecule: ribosomal RNA, 1438 nt
Filed under: Lactiplantibacillus pentosus
Lineage: Bacteria; Bacillati; Bacillota; Bacilli; Lactobacillales; Lactobacillaceae
Description: bacterial SSU rRNA
Rfam family: Bacterial small subunit ribosomal RNA
Source: RNAcentral
UGCAAGUCGAACGAACUCUGGUAUUGAUUGGUGCUUGCAUCAUGAUUUACAUUUGAGUGAGUGGCGAACUGGUGAGUAACACGUGGGAAACCUGCCCAGAAGCGGGGGAUAACACCUGGAAACAGAUGCUAAUACCGCAUAACAACUUGGACCGCAUGGUCCGAGUUUGAAAGAUGGCUUCGGCUAUCACUUUUGGAUGGUCCCGCGGCGUAUUAGCUAGAUGGUGGGGUAACGGCUCACCAUGGCAAUGAUACGUAGCCGACCUGAGAGGGUAAUCGGCCACAUUGGGACUGAGACACGGCCCAAACUCCUACGGGAGGCAGCAGUAGGGAAUCUUCCACAAUGGACGAAAGUCUGAUGGAGCAACGCCGCGUGAGUGAAGAAGGGUUUCGGCUCGUAAAACUCUGUUGUUAAAGAAGAACAUAUCUGAGAGUAACUGUUCAGGUAUUGACGGUAUUUAACCAGAAAGCCACGGCUAACUACGUGCCAGCAGCCGCGGUAAUACGUAGGUGGCAAGCGUUGUCCGGAUUUAUUGGGCGUAAAGCGAGCGCAGGCGGUUUUUUAAGUCUGAUGUGAAAGCCUUCGGCUCAACCGAAGAAGUGCAUCGGAAACUGGGAACUUGAGUGCAGAAGAGGACAGUGGAACUCCAUGUGUAGCGGUGAAAUGCGUAGAUAUAUGGAAGAACACCAGUGGCGAAGGCGGCUGUCUGGUCUGUAACUGACGCUGAGGCUCGAAAGUAUGGGUAGCAAACAGGAUUAGAUACCCUGGUAGUCCAUACCGUAAACGAUGAAUGCUAAGUGUUGGAGGGUUUCCGCCCUUCAGUGCUGCAGCUAACGCAUUAAGCAUUCCGCCUGGGGAGUACGGCCGCAAGGCUGAAACUCAAAGGAAUUGACGGGGGCCCGCACAAGCGGUGGAGCAUGUGGUUUAAUUCGAAGCUACGCGAAGAACCUUACCAGGUCUUGACAUACUAUGCAAAUCUAAGAGAUUAGACGUUCCCUUCGGGGACAUGGAUACAGGUGGUGCAUGGUUGUCGUCAGCUCGUGUCGUGAGAUGUUGGGUUAAGUCCCGCAACGAGCGCAACCCUUAUUAUCAGUUGCCAGCAUUAAGUUGGGCACUCUGGUGAGACUGCCGGUGACAAACCGGAGGAAGGUGGGGAUGACGUCAAAUCAUCAUGCCCCUUAUGACCUGGGCUACACACGUGCUACAAUGGAUGGUACAACGAGUUGCGAACUCGCGAGAGUAAGCUAAUCUCUUAAAGCCAUUCUCAGUUCGGAUUGUAGGCUGCAACUCGCCUACAUGAAGUCGGAAUCGCUAGUAAUCGCGGAUCAGCAUGCCGCGGUGAAUACGUUCCCGGGCCUUGUACACACCGCCCGUCACACCAUGAGAGUUUGUAACACCCAAAGUCGGUGGGGUAACCUUUUAGGAACCAGCCGCCUAA